This 454-nucleotide ribosomal RNA is filed under the name uncultured bacterium. RNAcentral's name for it is "partial 16S ribosomal RNA". It matches the Rfam family "Bacterial small subunit ribosomal RNA", at positions 28 to 507 of the family's 1533-position model. The record is from RNAcentral.
GAUGAACGCUGACAGAAUGCUUAACACAUGCAAGUCAACUUGAACUUCGGUUUGGGUGGCGGACGGGUGAGUAACGCGUAAAGAACUUGCCUCACAGAUAGGGACAACAUUUGGAAACGAAUGCUAAUACCUGAUAUUAUGAUUAUAUGGCAUCGUAUAAUUAUGAAAGCUAUAUGCGCUGUGAGAGAGCUUUGCGUCCCAUUAGCUAGUUGGAGAGGUAACGGCUCACCAAGGCGAUGAUGGGUAGCCGGCCUGAGAGGGUGAUCGGCCACAAGGGGACUGAGACACGGCCCUUACUCCUACGGGAGGCAGCAGUGGGGAAUAUUGGACAAUGGACCAAGAGUCUGAUCCAGCAAUUCUGUGUGCACGAUGAAGUUUUUCGGAACGUAAAGUGCUUUCAGUUGGGAAGAAAAAAAUGACGGUACCAACAGAAGAAGUGACGGCUAAAUACGUG